GCGGAACAGGAGUGUGGCAGGAAGGGGGAGUCCUAGGAACUGGUCCCAUGGUAUGGGCGGAGGUCUCCCAGGCCACAGAGGAGAAGAGGGAGGAGGUGUGUCCUAUGUGACUCUGGCAGGAAGGAUCAGGGAGCCCUUCUGAGACAGCGCUUCUGAAAUCGGGCUGGCUGGAACUUUCUGUCAGAAAAUCGGAAUGACUGAAAAAACUCGGCUACUAUGAUAGAGGCCAGAGGGUGGGAAAGAGGAAAGUGAGUUGGGGUAGCGGGAAUCCUAGGUUCCACAGGCAUGGUUUACAGGUACAAUACAUUGUUGGUAACAUGAUGGCUCGGGGACAAACAAGCCUGUCUCCAAGCCGUGCAGGUGCAUUGAGAGGAUGUAGAAAUUCUGGAUUCAUAUCGGGCCCGUCUGCAUUUCUGCCCUCCUCCACCCAGCAUUGAGGGGAGGGCAGGGUAGAACUAAAGCAAAUGUUCUUUUCAAUCCCUGAAUAGGGGCUUGCGUACCUCAGAGGAAGACAGAACACGCACAUUUCUCUGCGUUUGUCUUUGUCUCAUCCUUAGUCUCUAGACCAUUAGCCCCUGUUGCCAUGGGAACUGAAGCUGAGUGUCUGAUGCAUUCAUUGGGCUGUGGGAGAAAAGCAGAGUUGGUCCUUGAAAUAAAGGCCCCUGGGAGAGGGGAUUCUAGCAAGGCAGUCACAUCGAAAGAAUUCACAAUUCCCACAGAGCAGGGUGGGACUCCUCUCAUGGUGUCCUGCCCUCCACACCCCAAAGUGUGAGUUCUCAUGAAGUCCAACCGGAUGCCCAUUCCCUGCAACCGGAGCACCCAACAGACCAAAGAGCACGAGGGGCUUUACCCCAUAAAGACAAAGAAACUGGCUGAGGAGACAAAAGAAAGAAAGUAGCAGAAGCUGGUAAGGAAACAGAGACAGGGUCUCACUUGUGUUGCCAAGAGAGCUUGAGCAUCAACUGGCAGUGAGGACAGCCGGAAAGCAACCGACUUACCCCUCUCACCAGACCUUCCAACUGUCUGCCACACUGGCAUUGCCGUGUAUCCCUGCAUCUUGUUGAUCCCAUUGUGGCAUUGUGGUCAGAGAAUAUACAACUCGCUGAAGAAUCCAUUGUUUAUGGACAUUCCUGGGAUUGUAUUCAUUUAAAUAUCUUUAUGUACAUUGUAGUGAAAUAUAAUACAAAAAUGGAGUUGCAUGAAAAAUGAAGGUACCGCUCAGUAAAUGGUUCCACAGGGACAUCUGAUCCCCUACGAUCUGGGUUAAGAAAUGGUGUACUGUAUUGCUGGCAGCUCAAAAGCACUCUCAUGCCAGUCACUCUUGUCUUCCACCUCGGCCAAUCUAACCACUCUUGUGACUUUUAACACUUGAAGAUAAUCCCGCCUGUUUGUGAACGCAUUACACGUACGUAGAAUCAGUACAGUACAUAUUUUACAGUACAUAUUUUAUAAUCUGGGUUUCUCUUGGUUUUUCAGUAAGGUUUUUCUCCUUACUAUUGACUUCUGUCGUGCUGUGUAGCUGAAUUUCGUUUCUUUGCCUUCCUGCGCAGUAUUUUGAAUUGUAUGACAAUGCCACAAUUUAUUCGUGCCUUUUAUUUCUAAUGGACUCUUCAGUAGUUUCCAGCGCUGGAGUGUUAGUGUUAUUAUUGUGGUGCACGUUCACAAGGAUGUCCUUUGGUUGACAUGCUUAUGCAUUUAAGGCUGUGCUUGCAGGACUGCUUUGAUUACUUUUUCUUCCUUCAUGGCACUGUAAGUGGUGACAGUGGAUGUAGCGGUUUGUAUUUAUUUAUUUAUUUAUUUAUUUAUUUAUUUAUUUAUUUAUUUUUCCCUGAUCUCAGAGGGAAAGCUGUCAACAUGUCACCAGUAAGUAUCGUUGUUUUCGGAGGCUUUUAAAAAAUAUUCCAACUGAAUCAAGAGCGUUUCCUUUUAUUUGCAGUUGGCUAAGAGGUUUUAUCAUAAGUGCGUGGUCAUUUUAAAAAAUCAAACCCAUGAAAUACCCUUCCUGCAUCUGUAGGGAAUAUCCUAUUUUUUCUCUUUCACACAUUACUUCUGAGAGAUAGAUUUUUCAAGCGCUGAACCGCUUCAUUUCUAGAAUACUCGACUUGUUUGUGAUACGUUUUCAUUUUUGGAGAUUUAACUGAUUUGUUUUGCUAAUGCUUUAUCCAAGAUUUCUUCUUCUGUGCUUAUGUGAAAGAUAGGCCUGUGCAUUUCAUUUCUUACCAUGCCCUUUAAGGUUUUUGCCUCAUAAAAUGGGAUGGGAAGCAUUUCCCCUUUUUUAUGUUACCUGGCAAGAAGGUAAGAUUGACAUUCUUUCCUUCACAAAUGUUUUGUAGAAUUAAUCGGUGGCGGCAUCAGAGUCUGUAGGUUCUUGUGGCUGCUGCUGUUGUUUCCUUCAGAUUCCGCCCGUUUAGAAUUUGUAGGACAAUUCAGAUGUUUAGUCUGUUUUCUGUCAUUUUGUUAUCCAAAGUAUCACAUUUGUGGGCAUAAAGCUGUUCAUGAUUUUGAA
Molecule: non-coding RNA, 2506 nt
Organism: Macaca mulatta (Rhesus monkey)
Lineage: Eukaryota; Metazoa; Chordata; Mammalia; Primates; Cercopithecidae
Source: RefSeq, a predicted model, not a curated record